GCGGACGUAGUUCAGUGGUAGAAUGUCUGCUUCCCAAGCAGAAGGUCGCGGGUUCGAAUCCCGUCGUCCGCU
This 72-nucleotide transfer RNA is filed under the name Candidatus Dojkabacteria bacterium CG_4_10_14_0_2_um_filter_Dojkabacteria_WS6_41_15. RNAcentral describes it as "tRNA-Gly". It matches the Rfam family "tRNA". From Rfam's summary of the family: Transfer RNA (tRNA) molecules are approximately 80 nucleotides in length. Their secondary structure includes four short double-helical elements and three loops (D, anti-codon, and T loops). Further hydrogen bonds mediate the characteristic L-shaped molecular structure. tRNAs have two regions of fundamental functional importance: the anti-codon, which is responsible for specific mRNA codon recognition, and the 3' end, to which the tRNAs corresponding amino acid is attached (by aminoacyl-tRNA synthetases). tRNAs cope with the degeneracy of the genetic code in two manners: having more than one tRNA (with a specific anti-codon) for a particular amino acid; and 'wobble' base-pairing, i.e. permitting non-standard base-pairing at the 3rd anti-codon position. RNAcentral also lists the same sequence under 1 other name. The record is from RNAcentral.